Non-coding RNA from Picea glauca (white spruce), 59 nucleotides. Lineage: Eukaryota; Viridiplantae; Streptophyta; Pinopsida; Pinales; Pinaceae. The record is from Rfam.
UUUACCUUGGGCACCAUCCUUGGAAUGAGGGAAAGUGCCCGGUGGGUUUCCUCGGGAUA